GAUGAACGCUAGCUACAGGCUUAACACAUGCAAGUCGAGGGGCAGCGGGAUUGAAGCUUGCUUCAAUUGCCGGCGACCGGCGCACGGGUGAGUAACGCGUAUCCAACCUUCCGUACACUCAGGGAUAGCCUUUCGAAAGAAAGAUUAAUACCUGAUGGUAUCUUAAGCACACAUGUAAUUAAGAUUAAAGAUUUAUCGGUGUACGAUGGGGAUGCGUUCCACUAGGUAGUAGGCGGGGUAACGGCCCACCUAGCCAACGAUGGAUAGGGGUUCUGAGAGGAAGGUCCCCCCACAUUGGAACUGAGACACGGUCCAAACUCCUACGGGAGCAGCAGUGAGGAAUAUUGGUCAAUGGACGAGAGUCUGAACCAGCCAAGUAGCGUGAAGGAUGAAGGUCCUACGGAUUGUAAACUUCGUUUAUAAGGGAUAAACCCUCCACGUGUGGGAGCUUGUAUGUACCUUAUGAAUAAGCAUCGGCUAACUCCGUG
RNAcentral lists this ribosomal RNA (488 nucleotides) under uncultured bacterium. RNAcentral's name for it is "bacterial SSU rRNA". It matches the Rfam family "Bacterial small subunit ribosomal RNA", at positions 28 to 507 of the family's 1533-position model. The record is from RNAcentral.